GACGAACGCUGGCGGCGUGCUUAACACAUGCAAGUCGAACGGAAAGGCCCUGCUUUUGUGGGGUGCUCGAGUGGCGAACGGGUGAGUAACACGUGAGUAACCUGCCCUUGACUUUGGGAUAACUUCAGGAAACUGGGGCUAAUACCGGAUAGGAGCUCCUGCUGCAUGGUGGGGGUUGGAAAGUUUCGGCGGUUGGGGAUGGACUCGCGGCUUAUCAGCUUGUUGGUGGGGUAGUGGCUUACCAAGGCUUUGACGGGUAGCCGGCCUGAGAGGGUGACCGGGGACAAUAGGACUACGGGACGGCGCAGAAUGCUACGGGAGGCAGCAGGGGGGAGUAUGACGCAGUGGGGGGGAGUCUGAGGCGGAGACGCCGGGUGCGGGAUGACGGGCUUCGGGUUGUAAACAUAUUUCUACUGUGACGAAGCGUGAGUGACGGUAAUGGGUAAAGAAGCACCGGCUAACUACGUG
Molecule: ribosomal RNA, 468 nt
Filed under: uncultured bacterium
Lineage: Bacteria
Description: partial 16S ribosomal RNA
Rfam family: Bacterial small subunit ribosomal RNA
Source: RNAcentral